This 469-nucleotide ribosomal RNA is filed under the name uncultured bacterium. RNAcentral's name for it is "partial 16S ribosomal RNA". It matches the Rfam family "Bacterial small subunit ribosomal RNA", at positions 28 to 507 of the family's 1533-position model. The record is from RNAcentral.
GACGAACGCUGGCGGCGUGCUUAACACAUGCAAGUCGAACGGAAAGGCCCUGCUUUUGUGGUGUUCUCGAGUGGCGAACGGGUGAGUAACACGUGAGUAACCUGCUCUUGACUUUGGGAUAACUUCAGGAAUCUGGGUCUAAUACCGUAUAGGAGCUCCUGCUGCAUGGUGGUGGUUGGAAAGUUUCGGGGGUUGGGGGUGAGCGCGCGGCUUAUCAGCUUGUGGGGUGGGGAGGGGCUUACCAAGGCGUUGACGGGUGGCCGGCCUGAGAGGGUGACCGGGCAAGUUGGGGCUGAGAGACGGACCAGACGCCGACGGGGGGCAGCAGGGGGGAAGAUGGCACCAGGGGCGCAAGCCUGAUGCAGCCACGCCGCGGGGGGGAGGACGGCCUUCGGGUUGGAAACACCUUUCGCCAGGGACGAAGCCGUGUGUGACGGUACCUAGAGAAGAAGCACCGGCUAACUACGUG